ACCUGGAUAGCUCAGUUGGUUAGAGCAUGGUGCUGAUAAUUCCAAGGUUGCAGGUUCGAUCCCCGUGUGGGGCA
Molecule: transfer RNA, 74 nt
Filed under: Podarcis lilfordi (Lilford's wall lizard)
Lineage: Eukaryota; Metazoa; Chordata; Lepidosauria; Squamata; Lacertidae
Description: tRNA.Ile
Rfam family: tRNA (bases 8-66)
About the family: Transfer RNA (tRNA) molecules are approximately 80 nucleotides in length. Their secondary structure includes four short double-helical elements and three loops (D, anti-codon, and T loops).
Source: RNAcentral